ACAUCGGUGACAGGUGGUGCAUGGUUGUCGUCAGCUCGUGUCGUGAGAUGUUGGGUUAAGUCCCGCAACGAGCGCAACCCCUAUUGUUAGUUGCCAUCAUUCAGUUGGGCACUCUAGCGAGACUGCCGGUAAUAAACCGGAGGAAGUGGGGAGUGACGUCAAAUCAUCAUGCCCCUUAUGACCUGGGCUACACACGUGCUACAAUGGUUGGUACAACGAGUUGCGAGUCGGUGACGGCGAGCUAAUCUCUUAAAGCCAAUCUCAGUUCGGAUUGUAGGCUGCAACUCGCCUACAUGAAGUCGGAAUCGCUAGUAAUCGCGGAUCAGCACGCCGCGGUGAAUACGUUCCCGGGUCUU
This 356-nucleotide ribosomal RNA is filed under the name uncultured Streptococcus sp. RNAcentral's name for it is "bacterial SSU rRNA". It matches the Rfam family "Bacterial small subunit ribosomal RNA", at positions 1025 to 1382 of the family's 1533-position model. Lineage: Bacteria; Bacillati; Bacillota; Bacilli; Lactobacillales; Streptococcaceae. The record is from RNAcentral.